This 992-nucleotide long non-coding RNA is filed under the name Homo sapiens (human). RNAcentral describes it as "HSALNT0274183". Lineage: Eukaryota; Metazoa; Chordata; Mammalia; Primates; Hominidae. The record is from RNAcentral.
GCUGAGGUUGCAGUGAGCUGAGAUCACACCACUGCACUCCAGCCUGAGUGACGGAGUGAGACUCUGUUUCAAAAAAAGAAAAAAAAGUCUGAAAAGUCUUACAGACCCAAGGAAGAAUUUGUCUUCCUCUGUGAGAGGGGAGAUGUGCUCUGAUGAUAUAGGAGAAAACCCCAAAAUCAGUAUCAGCCCACCAACCAGGGCAGUGAAGCCGCACCCAGAUGCACCACACAUGGCAGUCCAUGAACAGCCGGGCUUUUGUAAAGGCCGGUGCUUUAUGGAAUGACGCUCUGCCGGGCCCGGGUUCUGGGGCUUCCAGUCACUCAGUCUUUUGUUUACUCAUCCAUUGCGUAUUUCUUGAGCACCUCCUAUGAACCAGAUGCUGCUUGAGGAACUGGGGUUACCAGGGCAAAUGAGACCAGGCCCCUGCCCUCGGGGGCCCCAGGUUCAGGGGGAGAGAGAAGACAAAAAAAAGGAAAAGAAGUGAGCUAAUUUCAGAUAGUGCUUAGAGCUGUGGAGAGAAUGCGUGGCACUCGGAGGCCCUGAGCAGCCCAGAUGGUGAAGCAGCUGUGGUUGUGGUGUUGAGAGUGUGACCCUGAAAAGAUGUAGAGUUGAGAGUGAGUGAAGGCCCGGGGUCGGCAGGGGCGGGGUGGCGGCUGGAGCAUGAGCUCUAUGUGGAGGAGCAGUGAGCAGACCACUGUGCCCGGAACUUGGUGGGGGUCCAGGGCCAGGUGAGGCUGGCAGAGUUUGGGGAGGGGCUCCUGGCCCAAAUCAGGUGGGCUGUGGCAUGGAGCAUGAUGUCAUCCUAAAACCAUCCUAAGGACACUUCAGACGGUCACUUUCUCAAUCUGGGCCUUGGUUUGUUGAUCUGUGGAAUGGGAGUUGCACUAGUUGAUUCCUGGGGUCCCUUCUGAAACCCCCAACUUUGUGAGUCCAUGACAUGAAACAUAACCCCCCUGCCAUGGUCUGCAGAAAGCUGUAAACUCUCCCUCCCC